RNAcentral lists this ribosomal RNA (253 nucleotides) under uncultured bacterium. RNAcentral's name for it is "partial 16S ribosomal RNA". It matches the Rfam family "Bacterial small subunit ribosomal RNA", at positions 524 to 776 of the family's 1533-position model. The record is from RNAcentral.
UACGUAGGGUGCAAGCGUUAAUCGGAAUUACUGGGCGUAAAGCGUGCGCAGGCGGUUGUGCAAGACCGAUGUGAAAUCCCCGGGCUUAACCUGGGAAUGGCAUUGGUGACUGCACGGCUAGAGUGUGUCAGAGGGGGGUAGAAUUCCACGUGUAGCAGUGAAAUGCGUAGAGAUGUGGAGGAACACCAGUGGCGAAAGCGGCCACCUGGACUGCACCUGACGCUCAAACGCGAAAGCUAGGGGAGCGAACGGG